CCCCUCGUCCAGGUCACUGAUGAACAAGUUGAACAAGACUGGGCCGAGUACCGAGCCCUGGGGAACUCCACUAACUACCGGCAUCCAACUGGACUCCGCCCCGCCGGCUGUGGAGGGCACCAGG
Molecule: long non-coding RNA, 124 nt
Organism: Egretta garzetta (little egret)
Lineage: Eukaryota; Metazoa; Chordata; Aves; Pelecaniformes; Ardeidae
Exons: 3
Source: RefSeq, a predicted model, not a curated record